This is a long non-coding RNA of Pipra filicauda (Wire-tailed manakin), 5004 nucleotides long. RefSeq lists it as uncharacterized. The record is from RefSeq and is a predicted model, not a curated record. The transcript has 3 exons. Lineage: Eukaryota; Metazoa; Chordata; Aves; Passeriformes; Pipridae.
CUGCCAGUUCUCUGUCUCCUUUGAGCUAGAGAACUCUAACUGUUGCAACUCAGUUUCGUCUGAUGUUGUUACUAAGGGACUUGAUGUUUCAUCUGAUUUGGCUACAAAAGGUUUCCAAUCAUUAGGAUCAGUUUGAGUGGCUGUUGGUACAUGCAUAAGCCUCAUCAACCGGCCCAUUUUGUCAGUUUAUGUAGUUUGUCCAUCCAGGUGAGAGAUGACAAGGUUAACAGUACCCCUCAAUAUCUGUCAACCUGUGCCCAACUUGAGCCCGUGGGCAAGGUUCUGGGUAAAUAACUUCUGUAAGUUAUUACCAAAAAUUUGUAUCACUUUUGUUUGAUGACUCUCGCUGGGCAGUGACUCCAGACGAUAGGGAGAGAGAGGCUUUAACCCCUCCUCCGAACUGGGGCCGAGGCCGACUUAGUUACCUGUGAAGGGCAUCCAGCGGGACCACGAGGAGGUGCGACCACUGCGGCUGAGCCCAGUCAGUAACUCUGCUCCCACCUUAGGAGAGUGAUAGUUACUCCCGCCGUUUACCUGCACUUCACUGAAUUUCUUCCCUUUGCCAUUGAGAGCUCUGGGCAGAAAUCCCAGCGCGUCAGCCCCCGCCGUGGGCCUUGGCGAUGCUUGGCUUUAAUUAAACAGUCGGAUUCCCCUGGUCCGCACCAGUUCCUGGUGCUGAGCCCUGGCCAAGGCGGGGAGGAGUGGUCUCAGCCUUCCUUCUGUGAUGGAUAAAAGAGGCUAGAAUUUAGGUUGCAAGGUAAAAACAGGUUUAUUAAUGCUAACAAGCAAAAGCGGCUAGCCGGGCGACCGGGGGAAACCCUUGCUCCACCACAGUCCGCAAAAUGGGGAACCGAAACAGCAGUAAUUAUAACUCUUAUUGACCCCACCCCCCUAAGUCAUGUCCAUAGUCCAUUGGUGGGGUUUUCGCGGGCCAUCCUCUGCUUGGUUCCUCUUUCGCGGGCUAGUCUGAGGUUGGCUCCUCUGUUCGCGGGCCUUUGCCGUUGCUGAGGGGCUUCUACCAAUGAUGUCAAAGUCUAUAGUCUCUAUGAGGCCGUGGUCCUGGAAUUUUCCAUCAGGGGAUGUCAUCUAAUCAUAGGACUCCUCGUGGCUUGCCCUCCAUAUUAGUUCCUAUUAAUAUGCUUAUAACAAAUAUCUUUAAAACACCAAAUCAUUCUGCGCUGUGUUAACAAACUCGUGGUUAGGGAUUUCACAAUUAGUUCACUCAUGACUCUGAACAAUGUGGUUAGUAGAAUACAAUAACAUUAUUAACCCUUUUGAACAGCAAAUUUCCUAGGUUUACUUAUAACACUUCUAAUUCUCCUCCCUGGGCAGUUUAUUACAGACAGUUGAAUACCAAUGCUUGGCCUUUAACGGCUGCUCUGCCAACCAGAGGGCCCCCCCUGAAAAAUAGGGGAAGUUUGUGUUGUUUUCUCUUUCCAGGAAUGCCAGCACUCCCCCCGCUGAAGAUGAGAGGAAGGAGUUGCAAGCAGGGCAGCUGCCAGCGGAUUUCCCCGAGAAGGCUCACAGCCAGCCAAGAUGGGAUAAUCAUUUUUCCCUUAGGCCCUUUGAACUUUGGUUACUUGCUGCUUGAGCAGCAUCCUGCCAGACAAGACAUUCUUUCUUCUUUUUCAGGAUUGGUCUGUAUUAGGCCAAAUUUUCCCUUUGUUUUUUUAGGAACCUGCUGACAGGUGAGACCCAGCUGCCUGAAACCGAUGGAACUUUUAACUGCCCCAUAAUUGCUUGUGCUGUCAGUUUAUUAAUGUUUGUGAUUUGUUUGUGUUUCCAUGGCAAGCAACUUGUUGAGAACUAAGAAUAUUAGGAGGAUUUUAUAAGACAAACCAUUCUGUGUAUUGCCAGUUUGAUUUUUGCUAAGUUUAUUUUGUCUUUUUACUAAAAAGAAUGGGGUGGGGAAAGCUUUUAUCUUAUGGAUGUAUAAGUUUGUCUCAGAAAACUCAAUCAAAUUUAGCCUGGGAGUUGGUACAAGAAUUUAUGCCUAUUUGGAAUCCUGUAAAUAUGUAUUAACCUUCCCAUUCUGCCUCAGAAGGAUUUAGAUUUAUUAUGAUUUGGCUAAAUUUUUCAGAGAUGUUAAUGAGUGAACUAAAUAAUCUUAACAAAAGAAAACAUUACAUGGAAAUGGUUGAGUCCCCCUUCCUAAACCAGAAGGAGGGACGGCCACAGACUGCAAAGGGGACAUGGAUAAAAUACAGGAAGGUCUUUUACCAGCUCUCAAGACCUGUAACCAGUUUUGGAAACACUUGUAUUCUCACUUGAACGUGUCUGAUGUACUGUUGGGUUUCCUACCCUGUGUCCUAAGCAGGUUUUCUACUUUGCAUCUCUUCUUUCAUUUUUGCUAAUCAAUAUGGUAACUCUAGUCCACUGUGCACCCCACAUGCUUCUAAACUUUGGGUGCAAUUUACUGUAGCAGCAAUUGUAAAGGAAUGUGAUGAGGGGAAUUUGCCCACUAAAAUUAAAAAAAUAAAAAAGGGAAAGCACCUGGGGAUAAUACAGGUAAAUUUGAAAGGGAAUUAAUUUCAUUUAUGACCCCACCACCAGUAAAACCACAGCUUUUUGUUUUGUGUCAGGACUAAAUCACGACAGAGCUCUCCCCUGUGCUCUGUCCCCUGAGAAUGGAGUAUAGGCCUGAUGUAAAGAUGUGCUUAUAUGAACACUCUUUUAUAUUUUGUAUGAGGACUUUGUACACCAAAAGUUAAUUUUUCAUGGUGUGUAGAAUUACCCAGUGGGGCAGGAACGUUGCCAAGAAAUUCUUCCAACUCGAUGUGCAUGUGGCCCAGAGAGAACCCUGUUUUAAAGCCUUUGAACUGUAUGAACACACCUCCUUACAAACCCAGUCCCACUUGUUCUGGUGUGCAAAGGGAACCAAUUUACUGUGAGACCUGGAGAUGCCCUUUGAGUCUUGGCUGAAAAACACGUGUCUUAUACGUGAGGUGUGUUUGUUGGGGAUCCCCCUCGAUGGGAUUGAAAAAUCAGAACUUGCUGUGGAAUUCUGGGACUCAUUUCAAGCCCCAAAUGUACUUGAGAGACCCCUGGACUUGCAAGACAAGCAGCUCUGGUGCCCCACUUGGGUCAGCUUGGGGUGUUCUGACUCAUCACUCUGCUCUGAGGUGGGGGUAGUGCUGCCAUCCCUUUGCCCAAAUCGUGUCUCUCCUGACCCAUGGGCAGGAAGGACAGGGCAGGAACUGAGUUGUCCUGAACAAAGCUGAGACUGGAUCACUGACACACGUGCCCCAGAUUGUUAUACAGUCAGGCAAAGGAUAGAUUUUCAUCUUUGGGUAUUUUUUACACCUUCUCUAGUUCUAACACACCACCAGUGGGCCUUGGAAAGUACCCCAGGGCAGGUGCAUGCCCUCAGUAAUUGGGCCAGGUGUGUGUUCAGAGAGCUGAACUUGGGAGUCCAGCAGGUGUCAAAACUGGCUUUACAGAAUGGGUUGGCGUUAGAUAUGUUACUGUUAAAGGAACAAGGGGGGUGUGGAAUGUUAAAUCUUCCUGAAUGUUGUAUUGCCAUUCACAAUGUAACGGCAUCAACUGGAAAAACCUGAGGCAAAACGAAAGCAAUGGCUGAUCAAACCUCAGAACUUCUGCAAUCACUCCAACCCAAGGACUGGCUUCAAGGAAUUGGCCCCAGUUCCUGGCUGAUGUCCAUGUUCCAAUCCUUGGGACUGGCGGGGUGGGGGCAGUGGCUGAUGAGGAUUGGGUUGAUGGUUGCAAUUGGAUUUACAUUUUUCAUGAUUGGAACAGCUGAUGUCCGUGGUAUGAUUACUCUUGUUGUUGUUUCUGCUGUUUGUGUCUUCUCUGCUCUGUCUUGUCUAUGUGCACAUCACCCUGAUGGAAAACCCGUGAACUGAGGAAAAGUCCCUGGCAGAGAGUGUUUGAGCCAUGGGGUGGGGGAAGGACUUCAGUGCAGUUCCCUCUCUCCAAACCCUGUCAAAGCCACAGAAGGAACUUGCUGUAAGAGAAGCCAGUGGACAAAAAAUCCCCCCUGUGCAGACAGUGAGAACUUGAGAUGAGCCCAGAAGGGAGGAAUCUGCAAGAGGAAAGAGCUCAUGCCAGGCAGGUGGUGAGGCAGAUCUGGGGAACCUCCUCCUUCCUGCAUCUCAGCAAAAAUUCCCCCUGUGGCAGCCUGGGGGAAAGGAAACAACUGCUCACACAUGUGCCAUCCCAAGUAAUGGGAAUGGGAUCUAGGCCCCUUUCAAACUCCAGGAGUUCAAGUAAGGCAGUAAAACUUAGGAGAUUGAUGUAUCUCACCAUACUCAGCCAUAAGGUUCACAUCUGCAGCGGACACUUUUAUAGCAUGGAGGCAAGAGGUACCUGCACUACCACUUCAUGAGGUAAAGAUGACUGACUGUAGUCAGGGGGGGGCUGUGGCAGGAGGGCCUACCCCGAGAAGGCCCAGAAGCCCAUCAGAAAAUGCCCACAGUGCAGGCUCUCAUGCAAGCUGGCUGUGGUGAGUUCUGGUGGUGCCACGGUGGUGGGUUUUGGUGUUGAAUGAGGCUAAAACCAGCCUGGUUCACCAAACCCCAAACACAUCCUGCUUUUUGAAGUUGGGUGUGGCAGAUAAGCUGGUGGCUGGCCUGUAAAUUUGUGACUAGCAGUCAAUCACUUUAUACUAUAAAAGUCCAGUCCACUUUUCUGCAGUCAGGUUCUUCAAACCUAACCCUUCUUGGGGUGUAUGUGUGGAGAUUCCUCCCUUGGGCUGGGGACCCCCCAAGGAUACUCCUUGAGGCUGAGCAAAAGAGUUCUCCCCACAAGCAUUGGUAUGGGUGAGUUACAUCCAAUCUCUACUUAAUGAUUAUUUCCCUUCUGCUACCUUGAAUAUAAUUGCUUCAGUAAUUGCUUCAAUAGAGUGCACUGUCCUAUCCUACCCUGUGCUAGUAGUAGUCUUAGCCUUUAUAUUGUGCAGUAAAUAAUUCUGAUUAAGAUCUUCUCUCUGUUCACCUGUUGAUUUGUCUGAUCAUUUGUAUCAAUAAAUGAUUCAUUUUAUAGAAA